AACACGGGAGUCCUCUGGUAUAGUGAGGCUUCAACUGAGAGAGAAGCUGAAACACGGGAGUUCUCUGGUGUAGUGGGGCUUCAACUGAGAGAAGCUGAAACACGGGAGUCCUCUGGUGUAGUGGGGCUUCAACUGAGAGAGAAGCUGAAACACGGGAGUUCUCUGGUGUAGUGAGGCUUCAACUGAGAGAGAAGCUGAAACACAGGAGUCCUCUGGUGUAGUGGGGCUUCAACUGAGAGAGAAGCUGAAACACGGGAGUUCUCUGGUGUAGUGGGGCUUCAACUGAGAGAGAAGCUGAAACACGGGAGUCCUCGGGAGUAUGACAGUAAAGCACAAAUCAGCUGUUUCCUCAUCUUCACUCCAAUUCCUCUGACCAGAACUCACCUUCUCAAGUACAAUACUGUAUCUCAUACACGGUGUACUCAAAGGCAUACAUUGUAAUCAUGUUGUAGUCAUUGCUGUACAUUAUCCCCAUGCUUCAUUCAUAAUUCACACACAUUGAACAUGCUACAGUAUGUACAUAUUGUUAUUAGCUCUUCAGAACAGUCUUUACACACACACAUGACGCUGAAUGUCUCAGGAGGACAAUGCAUUCCAACCAGAGGAGGCUGGUGGGGGGGAGCUGUAGGAGGACAGGCUCAUUGUAAUGGCUGGAAUGAAAUACAUGGAAUGUAGUCAAACAUGUGUUUUCCAUAUGUUUGAUAUCGUUCCAAUAGUUCCAUUCCAGCGAUGACAAUGAGGCCGCCCUCCUAUAGCUCCUCCCACUAGCCUCCUCUGACUUCAACCCCGUACUGUCUUUGAGCUUAUCAUUACAGCAGACCUCUGCUCUACCCUGCUGGGACCCUACUUCCUUCUGCUGAACUGUAAUAACCAUGCUCUGUCUGUGUGUGUGUGUGUGUGUGUGUGUGUGUGUGUGUGUGUGUGUGUGUGUGUGUGUGUGUGUGUGUGUGUGUGUGUGUGUGUGUGUGUGUGUGUGUGUGUGUGUGUGUGUGUGUGUGUGUGUGUGUGUGUGUGUGUGUGUGUGUGUGUGUGUGCAACUGUAAUAACCCUGUUCUCUCAGGGGAAGGUCACACUGUUUAUACAGGCUUUGGUUGCCUGGUUACUGGUUACAUAGUGAGGUAGAGGUUGUUUAUGUUGUCUGGUUACAUAGUGAGGUAGAAGUUGUUUAUGUUGUCUGGUUACAUAGUGAGGUAGAGGUUGUUUAUGUUGUCUGGUUACAUAGUGAGGUAGAGGUUGUUUAUGUUGUCUGGUUACUGGUUACAUAGUGAGGUAGAGGUUGUUUAUGUUGUCUGGUUACUGGUUACAGAGUGAGGUAAAGGUUGUUUAUGUUGUCUGGUUACAUAGUGAGGUAGAAGUUGUUUAUGUUGUCUGGUUACAUAGUGAGGUAGAGGUUGUUUAUGUUGUCUGGUUACAGAGUGAGGUAGCGGUUGUUUAUGUUGUCUGGUUACUGGUUACAUAGUGAGGUAGAGGUUGUUUAUGUUGUCUGGUUACAUAGUGAGGUAGAGGUUGUUUAUGUUGUCUGGUUACUGGUUACAUAGUGAGGUAGAGGUUGUUUAUGUUGUCUGGUUACUGGUUACAGAGUGAGGUAAAGGUUGUUUAUGUUGUCUGGUUACAUAGUGAGGUAGAAGUUGUUUAUGUUGUCUGGUUACAUAGUGAGGUAGAGGUUGUUUAUGUUGUCUGGUUACAUAGUGAGGUAGAGGUUGUUUAUGUUGUCUGGUUACUGGUUACAUAGUGAGGUAGAGGUUGUUUAUGUUGUCUGGUUACUGGUUACAGAGUGAGGUAAAGGUUGUUUAUGUUGUCUGGUUACAUAGUGAGGUAGAAGUUGUUUAUGUUGUCUGGUUACAUAGUGAGGUAGAGGUUGUUUAUGUUGUCUGGUUACAGAGUGAGGUAGCGGUUGUUUAUGUUGUCUGGUUACUGGUUACAUAGUGAGGUAGAGGUUGUUUAUGUUGUCUGGUUACAUAGUGAGGUAGAGGUUGUUUAUGUUGUCUGGUUACUGGUUACAUAGUGAGGUAGAGGUUGUUUAUGUUGUCUGGUUACUGGUUACAGAGUGAGGUAAAGGUUGUUUAUGUUGUCUGGUUACAUAGUGAGGUAGAAGUUGUUUAUGUUGUCUGGUUACAUAGUGAGGUAGAGGUUGUUUAUGUUGUCUGGUUACAUAGUGAGGUAGAGGUUGUUUAUGUUGUCUGGUUACAGAGUGAAGUAGCGGUUGUUUAUGUUGUCUGGUUACUGGUUACAUAGUGAGGUAGAGGUUGUUUAUGUUGUCUGGUUACAUAGUGAGGUAGAGGUUGUUUAUGUUGUCUGGUUACUGGUUACAUAGUGAGGUAGAGGUUGUUUAUGUUGUCUGGUUACAUAGUGAGGUAGAGGUUGUUUAUGUUGUCUGGUUAUAGAGUGAGGUAGAGGUUGUUUAUGUUGUCUGGUUACAUAGUGAGGUAGAGGUUGUUUAUGUUGUCUGGUUACAGAGUGAGGUAGAGGUUGUUUAUGUUGUCUGGUUAUAGAGUGAGGUAGAGUUUGUUUAUGUUGUCUGGUUACAUAGUGAGGUAGAGGUUGUUUAUGUUGUCUGGUUACAUAGUGAGGUAGAGGUUGUUUAUGUUGUCUGGUUACAGAGUGAGGUAGAGGUUGUUUAUGUUGUCUGGUUACUGGUUACAGAGUGAGGUAAAGGUUGUUUGUGUUGUCUGGUUACAUAGUGAGGUAGAGGUUGUUUAUGUUGUCUGGUUACAUAGUGAGGUAGAGGUUGUUUAUGUUGUCUGGUUACAUAAUGAGGUAGAGGUUGUUUAUGUUGUCUGGUUACAGAGUGAGGUAGAGGUUGUUUAUGUGCGUGCGUGCGUGCGUGUGUGUGUGUGUGUGUGUGUGUGUGUGUGUGU
Oncorhynchus keta (chum salmon) is the source of this 2858-nucleotide long non-coding RNA. RefSeq lists it as uncharacterized. The transcript is spliced from 3 exons. The record is from RefSeq and is a predicted model, not a curated record. NCBI's taxonomy places the organism in Eukaryota, Metazoa, Chordata, Actinopteri, Salmoniformes, Salmonidae.